Molecule: ribosomal RNA, 495 nt
Filed under: uncultured bacterium
Lineage: Bacteria
Description: partial 16S ribosomal RNA
Rfam family: Bacterial small subunit ribosomal RNA
Source: RNAcentral
GACGAACGCUGGCGGCGUGCCUAAUACAUGCAAGUAGAACGCUGAAGGAGGAGCUUGCUUCUCUGGAUGAGUUGCGAACGGGUGAGUAACGCGUAGGUAACCUGCCUGGUAGCGGGGGAUAACUAUUGGAAACGAUAGCUAAUACCGCAUAAUAGUAGAUGUUGCAUGACAUUUGCUUAAAAGGUGCAAUUGCAUCACUACCAGAUGGACCUGCGUUGUAUUAGCUAGUUGGUGGGGUAACGGCUCACCAAGGCGACGAUACAUAGCCGACCUGAGAGGGUGAUCAGCCACACUGGGACUGAGACACGGCCCAGACUCCUACGGGAGGCAGCAGUAGGGAAUCUUCGGCAAUGGACGGAAGUCUGACCGAGCAACGCCGCGUGAGUGAAGAAGGUUUUCGGAUCGUAAAGCUCUGUUGUAAGAGAAGAACGAGGGUGAGAGUGGAAAGUUCACACUGUGACGGUAUCUUACCAGAAAGGGACGGCUAACUACGUG